RNAcentral lists this transfer RNA (70 nucleotides) under Proceratophrys avelinoi (Avelino's smooth horned frog). RNAcentral's name for it is "tRNA-Val". It matches the Rfam family "tRNA". From Rfam's summary of the family: Transfer RNA (tRNA) molecules are approximately 80 nucleotides in length. Their secondary structure includes four short double-helical elements and three loops (D, anti-codon, and T loops). Lineage: Eukaryota; Metazoa; Chordata; Amphibia; Anura; Alsodidae. The record is from RNAcentral.
CGAAACAUAGCUUAACUUAAAGCAUUUCGCUUACACCGAAAAAAUGUCUACUAAAUCCAGACUGUUUCGA